GACAGAGGGUGCAAACGUUGUUCGGAAUUACUGGGCGUAAAGGGCGCGUAGGCGGCCUGCUAAGUCGAACGUGAAAUCUCCGAGCUUAACUCGGAAAGGUCAACUGAUACUGUGCGGCUAGAGUGCAGAAGGGGCAACUGGAAUUCUCGGUGUAGCGGUGAAAUGCGUAGAUAUCGAGAGGAACACCUGCGGCGAAGGCGGGUUGCUGGGCUGACACUGACGCUGAGGCGCGAAAGCUAGGGGAGCGAACGGG
This 253-nucleotide ribosomal RNA is filed under the name uncultured bacterium. Its description in RNAcentral is "partial 16S ribosomal RNA". It matches the Rfam family "Bacterial small subunit ribosomal RNA", at positions 524 to 776 of the family's 1533-position model. The record is from RNAcentral.